RNAcentral lists this ribosomal RNA (253 nucleotides) under uncultured bacterium. RNAcentral describes it as "partial 16S ribosomal RNA". It matches the Rfam family "Bacterial small subunit ribosomal RNA", at positions 524 to 776 of the family's 1533-position model. The record is from RNAcentral.
UACGGGGGGGGCAAGCGUUGUUCGGAAUUACUGGGCGUAAAGGGCUCGUAGGCGGCCAACUAAGUCACACGUGAAAUCCCUCGGCUCAACCGGGGAACUGCGUGUGAGACUGGAUGGCUUGAGUUUGGGAGAGGAAUGCGGAAUUCCAGGUGUAGCGGUGAAAUGCGUAGAUAUCUGGAGGAACACCGGUGGCGAGGGCGGCAUUCUGGACCAACACUGACGCUGAGGAGCGAAAGCCAGGGGAGCAAACAGG